RNAcentral lists this long non-coding RNA (2309 nucleotides) under Marmota monax (woodchuck). Lineage: Eukaryota; Metazoa; Chordata; Mammalia; Rodentia; Sciuridae. The record is from RNAcentral.
AAAACCCAAAACACUGUGGGGUCUGGAUCAAGAAGUCCCCAGGAGGGGACAUAGUGAGGUAGGGGUAGAUAGACCAUGAGCAACCCUGCAUGUGGGUGUCCCGGAGAGACAGGUACCGUACAGAACAUUUUUGCUUUAUGGAUAAUUCCAAAUGAACCUGUUUGGGGUUUUCUCCCCUUCUAAAGUCCAUUUUCCUGGGUAUUGGGAUGGACCCCAGAGGUGGGCAAAAGUUUGUGUUGGGACACACAACCUUUGUGGAAGUUGUACCUUUUGCUGGCUCUUUGAAAUGAUUGCUUACAACAUUUUGCUUUCAAGCUCUGCUCAAAAGCUUUUUUUAAAAAAAACAAAAAACAACCCUCUAUUUCUAAUCUGCUAAACCUUUCAGCGGCAGUCAUUUUUUUCUGUAUUUUUUUCCUUCCCACACUCCCCACCAUGCAUAUUAGAUCUGACGUGAUGACCUGCUCUUUAUUCCUUCCGGGGUCUAUGUAUUCUCACAACAGCUCUCCAGCCUGAUAUGUUGAGCCAGCAACUUUUUUUUUUUUUUCAUAAAUUUCCCCAGAGACAAUGUGCAUUUCAUAGAUUUUUCAGUCAUUUGUUUUCUUGAAACUUGUGAUCAUGGACUUACUGUGCUCGCUGAUGGUCACUGUGCCACCUUGGAAACGUGGCUCUGGGCAGAAAGGGUAUGUUUGAGUCAGCUUUUUCAUUUCCAUCAUCAAAAGACCCUAUAAGAAGCAUGUAGAGGAGGAAGACUUUAUUCUGGCUCAUGAUUUCAGAAGUGCAGUCCAUGGUCAGCCACCUCCACUUCUCUGGACCUGCGGUGAGCCUGAACAUCCUGGUGGAAGGGUGUGGCACAGGAAAGCAGCUCAGAACGUGGCCACCAGAAAGCAGAGAGCUCCACUCUCCAAGGACAACAUAUGAAUCCCCAAGACAGGCCCUCAUUCACCUACUUCCUGCAGUCACGCCGUAACUGCCUACAGUUACACCCAGUUAACCCAAAUCAGUGGAUCGAUCCACCGAUCAAGUUAAGGUUCUCGUAAUUCAGUCAUUUCACCUCUGAACAUUCUCGUAUUGUCUCACACAGGAGCUUUUGGAGGGACACCUCAUGUCUAAAGCAUAACAGGGUGAUUCUUCUCCACAUUUGGAUUAGUAACACCAUCAGGAGACACAGUACUGAUCAGGUUGACAUUUCUCUUCUUUUUUCAAAUCCCAUGUCAUUCUUUUUCUCAUAUACCCACUUCACUCUGUCUCUUGGCUUUUCUUGGCUUUCCCAUAAAUAUCUUCUAAAAAUCAACUCAGAGCCUCAUUAGAGGAAGGAUUCCCUCUUAUCCUCCUCUGUCCCUAGAGCUCUGAGGUUGCUUCCUGCUGAGUGAGCUUGCUGUUGUUUAGUGGACCUCUCUUGUGCCCCUGAGACCACAGCCACGGUGCCACUGUAGGGGUAAGGGGGCUUCUUCCGUAGUGUACUGACAGCUCUUGUAGUGAUCAGAUUCUGGAGUCAGAAUGGAGGAUGAGAAAUAGACAACGGUAAAUGAAAGAAAACCUAUGAAUUGUGCCCUACCUAUGUGACACCUGCUACCACACUUCUUUAUCACUUACCUGGCAUUGACUACAGGAAGUCACAUGGCCUCUUCUAAGCGACAGGGGCAAUGAUGUGCAACCUCAUCUUCGCCCAGAAGGUAGAGGGACAUAAUGUCCACGGACAGCCUUAGUCACUACCCUGAUGAGCUGAGGCAGAGAAUCCCCACACCAUGGCUCCUCCUGUCUAAUGGAAGAGACAUGAAGCAAGGCACCAUGGUAAUCAGGGCAUGAUGCCAAGCAGAGGGGUGUGGGUCCUGGGGGACUUGAUCAUGGAGGACCCAAAGGUCAUAGAAAUUAGCUCGGGGAGAAGGAGAGACGGUGGGGAGUCUGGCCUGUUCCAGAAGGGAAAGGCCACCCGAUUAAGUGGUUAAAGGUGGGAGAAAGACUUGUAUGAUAUAAUGCAGGAAAUGGAGGUGAUGGCUUUCAUUUGUUUUGUGAAAUAAAUGACCGACCCUUACAUUCUUUGAAGUGUGAGAAUGGUGGUUUUGUUUUUCUGAAGUUGAAGAGGACCGUUUCAGUGGAGGGGGAUAGUGAAAGGAUUGGGUUGACCCCCAGGGUCAAAGGGAAUGAUGUUACCUGGGGAGAGAAGGAAGUCCAGUUGGGGCCCAGUGAAGGCCCUUUGUGGGAACGUUCUCUUUAAUUCGACCAGUGACUAGAAGAGAACAUAAAUUUUAGAUUGUGGCGAAGAGGCCACAGAGUGCUGAACAUGGGGACCUCAGCUUUUUUACCCAUGU